GUAUGGAGCAAGCGUUAUCCGGAUUUACUGGGUGUAAAGGGAGCGCAGGCGGCCUGGCAAGUCUGAUGUGAAAUACCGGGGCUCAACCCCGGGGCUGCAUUGGAAACUGUGGGGCUGGAGUGUCGGAGAGGCAGGCGGAAUUCCUAGUGUAGCGGUGAAAUGCGUAGAUAUUAGGAGGAACACCAGUGGCGAAGGCGGCCUGCUGGACGGUGACUGACGCUGAGGCUCGAAAGCGUGGGGAGC
This 243-nucleotide ribosomal RNA is filed under the name uncultured bacterium. RNAcentral describes it as "partial 16S ribosomal RNA". It matches the Rfam family "Bacterial small subunit ribosomal RNA", at positions 527 to 769 of the family's 1533-position model. The record is from RNAcentral.